ACGGGGGGUGCGAGCGUUGUCCGGAAUCACUGGGCGUAAAGGGCGCGUAGGUGGUUUGAUAAGGGUGUGGUGAAAGCCCGGGGCUCAACUCCGGAAUUGCCUUUAAGACUGCAUCGCUAGAAUUGUGGAGAGGUAAGUGGAAUUCCGAGUGUAGAGGUGAAAUUCGUAGAUAUUCGGAAGAACACCAGUGGCGAAGGCGACUUACUGGACACAUAUUGACGCUGAGGUGCGAAAGCGUGGGGAGCAAACAGGA
This 253-nucleotide ribosomal RNA is filed under the name uncultured prokaryote. RNAcentral's name for it is "partial 16S ribosomal RNA". It matches the Rfam family "Bacterial small subunit ribosomal RNA", at positions 525 to 777 of the family's 1533-position model. The record is from RNAcentral.